Molecule: ribosomal RNA, 440 nt
Filed under: uncultured bacterium
Lineage: Bacteria
Description: partial 16S ribosomal RNA
Rfam family: Bacterial small subunit ribosomal RNA
Source: RNAcentral
CCUACGGGCGGCAGCAGUGGGGAAUAUUGCACAAUGGGGGAAACCCUGAUGCAGCGACGCCGCGUGAGUGAAGAAGUAUCUCGGUACGUAAAGCUCUAUCAGCAGGGAAGAAAAUGACGGUACCUGACUAAGAAGCCCCGGCUAACUCCGUGCCAGCAGCCGCGGUAAUACGUAGGGGGCAAGCGUUAUCCGGAUUCACUGGGUGUAAAGGGAGUGUAGACGGCAGCACAAGUCUGGAGUGAAAUCCCGGGGCUUAACCCCGGAACUGCAUUGGAAACUGGGGGGCUGGAGUGCAGGAGGGGUAAGCGGAAUUCCUGGUGUAGCGGUGAAAUGCGUAGAUAUUAGGAGGAACACCGGUGGCGAAGGCGGCUUACUGGACUGUAACUGACGUUGAGGCUCGAAAGCGUGGGGAGCAAACGGGAUUAGAUACCCCGGUAGUC